GACGCUGGCGGCGUGCCUAACACAUGCAAGUCGAACGGAGUGAGACGCUGAAUUGAUUCUAGCUUGCUAGAGGAUUUUCUUGUUUCACUUAGUGGCGGACGGGUGAGUAACGCGUGAGCAAUCUGCCUUUCAGAGGGGGAUAACACUCUGAAAAGAGUGCUAAUACCGCAUAACGUGUUUUGGUGGCAUCACCGAAACACCAAAGGAGCAAUCCGCUGAAAGAUGAGCUCGCGUCCAAUUAGGUAGUUGGUGAGGUAACGGCUCACCAAGUCGACGAUCAUUAGCCGGACUGAGAGGUUGAACGGCCACAUUGGGACUGAGACACGGCCCAGACUCCUACGGGAGGCAGCAGUGNGGAAUAUUGGGCAAUGGGCGCAAGCCUGACCCAGCAAUGCCGCGUGAAGGAUGAAGGUUUUCGGAUUGUAAACUUCUUUUGUCAAGGACGAUAAUGACGGUACUUGACGAAUAAGCCACGGCUAACUACGUG
This 487-nucleotide ribosomal RNA is filed under the name uncultured bacterium. RNAcentral describes it as "bacterial SSU rRNA". It matches the Rfam family "Bacterial small subunit ribosomal RNA", at positions 32 to 507 of the family's 1533-position model. The record is from RNAcentral.